This 225-nucleotide long non-coding RNA is filed under the name Mytilus galloprovincialis (Mediterranean mussel). Lineage: Eukaryota; Metazoa; Mollusca; Bivalvia; Mytilida; Mytilidae. The record is from RNAcentral.
AGGUGGUGUAAAAAUAAACAAAGUAUGGUGAAAUCUUGGAGGUGAGUGGACUGCAUCAAUUAUAUAAUCAACUAAAAGGCAGUGUCACGGGUAUGAAUAGUAAAAUUGCUGUUCAUAGGCUACGCGUACUGACAUCUGGUAUCAUAAAAAAAUGCCAUCGGAUCAGGAAUGAAACGUGAAAUAUAAACGGAAAUUAUCAAUAAUAUGGGGAUUUCGUGUAAAAAG